This is a long non-coding RNA of Leguminivora glycinivorella, 541 nucleotides long. RefSeq lists it as uncharacterized. The transcript is spliced from 3 exons. Lineage: Eukaryota; Metazoa; Arthropoda; Insecta; Lepidoptera; Tortricidae. The record is from RefSeq and is a predicted model, not a curated record.
UGCGCCCCGGCUCGUGACUGCGCGCGCGCGCCCGUCACGCCGCGCCCGCGCGCACUAUUUUAUCGCAUUAAUUAUUUGGAAAAGGAUUCCCGGGCCCGGCAUUCUUGCGGCCAUGUCAGUUGUGGGAACGUCGUGGGGAUUAUGUAGCAAAGAGCCAUGUGUCCGCCUUCAGCACCAGUCAACACGCCCGUAGAUAAUCGUUGACUACUCGUAAACCUGCCAAACAUGCAGCUGGAUGCAACGCCGAAAUCGAUUAGCGUCGACCGGCUAGGGGGGAGGGAGGUUAGACGUGGGGGUAGCCCCGAACCGCCGACGUCAUCGCCCCGUCAACUGAACAAUACUAAGCAGACGACGUUACACCGUACCCCGAUACGAAACGUGGAAAAUAAAAGUCAAUGCACUGGUGUACCUAUAGGAUAUCAUAGUUUCUCUGUGGAUUAGCUGUCUUCGAUACACGAAAUGUGUUUGUCGCUUGCUUCGAAUAUACCUAUUAUAUAAGUACACGUAUUUAAUUAAAGGUACGAUAGUAAUAGUAAAAGAC